AUCUCUGUUGAACAGAACCAGACCCUCUGGGGCUGGUGGGACCCUAAAGGCGACGUCUGCCUUUGUUUGCAGGUGGAAGGAAGCUGGGAGAGAUGGCUGGGAAAGACUCUGAGCUGGAGAAAGGCCUCCAUGCCAUUGUGGGCAGCUUCUACAAAUACGCCAAGGGCCCGCCCGGAGCCAAGGCACAGGACCAGGCGGCUUUCCAGAAGUUGCUCAGCAAUGAGCUGAGCCAUCAGCUCACGGACGUGCAGAGCAGAGAGGCGGGGAAGGACCUUUUGAAGAAGCUGGAUACAGACAACAAUCAGCUCAUCUCCUUUGAGGAAUACUGGGAGCUGAUCGCCUUCAUCUGCCACACCAUCCAGUGUUACAGUUACAGCAAAUAGUGACCGUUGAGCAGAGGCCAGUGGGGAAACUGAGGCAGGCUCCUUCCUGGGUGACUGCAUCAAAGCUUUCACCGCCAGAAGUUAAAGCAAACCUUUCCCUGGCCCCUCACUCCUUCCCCCCACUCCCCGCAGCCUAUAAACCCAUUUGCCCUAUGUCAUAAACAGAUAGUUAAGGGUUAAUGUCUCUUUUACCUGUAAAGGGUUAAGAAGCUCAGUAAACCUGGCUGACAUUUGACCAGAGGACCAAUGGGGGACAAGAUACUUUCAAAUCUUGGUGGGGGGGAGUCUUUUGUUUGUGCUCUUUGUUUUGGGGGUUGUUCGCUCUUGGGACUAAGAGGGACCAGACGUCAAUCCAGGCUCUCCAAAUCUUUCUGAACCAGUCUCUCAUGUUUCAAACUUGUAAGUAACAGCCAGGCAAGGCAGGUUAGUCUUAUUUUUGUUUUCUCAACUUGUAAAUGUCCUAUUUUGCUGAGAGGAUUUUACUUCUGUUUGCUGUAACUUUGAACCUAAGGCUAGAGGGGGUUUCCUCUGGGCUAUACGAAUUUGAUUACCCUGUAAAGUAUUUUCCAUCCUGAU
RNAcentral lists this long non-coding RNA (959 nucleotides) under Gopherus agassizii (Agassiz's desert tortoise). RNAcentral describes it as "lncRNA (ENSGAGG00000006685.1)". Lineage: Eukaryota; Metazoa; Chordata; Testudines; Testudinidae. The record is from RNAcentral.